CUUCAUUCUUGUUCCUCUUCUUCUUCUUCUUCUUCUUCCUUUCUUCUCUUCGUUCUUAUUCUUCUGCGAUUAUUUGAGGAAUCAAACUGAGGGUUUUGGAAGAUGAAUUGAUAAGGGUUCGAUCCAUGAAGUGUAUCUGGUGGUAAAGAUUGUUAUGUUUCUUAAUCAGACUCAAUAGGAUAUGGGAUUACAGAGAGUUAGAAUUAGGGUUUCUAUAAGUUGAUUUGGAAUUCGAUUAAGAGUAAAUAAGGAGAAUUUGGAAGAUGGGUUUGUUCCUAAUUGGUGUUUCUGUGUUUAUGAAGAAGAAGAUUGAGAUGUUGUUACAAUCGAAGAUACGAUUCUGAAGUUAGGGUUUCUGAGAACAAUGAAAGUGAUGGGAAUUAUGGUUUCUUUGAGAUUCGAUGAAGACGAGGAAGUUUGUGAGUCUGAGAUUGAGAGAAGAAGAGAAGAGUUAGUUUUAGUCGAUGGUGGUGGUGUUGAUUCAAGCGGAUGAUACAGAACCUGCAGAAAAGGUAAUUUGAGAAAUUAAAAUUAGGGUUCCUAAAUAGAAUUGGGAUUUAGGGUUCUUGAGUUUGGGUUACAGAUGGGAAAGAUCAAACUAUUGUUGGAUGGAAUAAGAAGACUUCAGAGUUGGUUAAAAAGGUUAUGUUGAUGUUUAAGGAUUUGGUGGCUUACCUUUGAGAUGGUUGGAGUACUGACAGAUGCAGGGAAGGAUUGUGGUUGUAGUUCAGGUCAAAUUACAGGGGAUAUGGAUAAAUGGUGGAAUAAGUAAACCAAGUUGCAAAUGGUGAUGUAGAUGUGACUAGUGAAAUUAUAAGUGUGAUGUUGGUUGGAUGAUGCAGUGAAGAACUAAUGGUAAUUUAAUGAGUUACAGAGCUGUGGAGAUGGUGGUAUGCAGUGACAGUGGUGUUGCAGGGGGUUAUCGUGUUGAUUGCAGAUUAUUGGUGGUAUUGAACUGGUGGUGUUAUGCUGAAGCUAUAAAUUAUAGUUGAGGUGGAACCAUAGUGUGUAUGGAAUUAAUGCAGGGGUUGCUGGACUAGUGGUGCUGGUGGAGGAAAUUGUGGGCAAUAUGAAGUGAGUGUGAUCUCAACUGAAGUAUAGAUUGAGUCAUAGUGUUAUGGUAUAACUGAGUUAGUAACACCGUUGAGGUGAGUGAAACUUGGAUUGAGUUUGAAAAGCUGUUAUUGCAAGGACAUAAGUUAGAUGUGUUGCUUAUGUUGUUUUUAGAUAUGGCUUGGUACUGCAAUGGCAGGUAAUGCAUAAAUUACAAUUGUAUAUUGAAUUGUAGGAUUCUGUUGAAAUGAAUGUAUUAUUGAAGUGUAGAUAAGAAGAGGAAUCUGAAUUAAUAUGUUGAACUGAAUCUCCUCAGUGGAAGCUUGCAACUGCAUUUGCGGGUAAAGCUAAGUUUGUAGUUGAAGUUAAAUCAUGAAGUUUAAUUGAAAUGUAUAUGUUUGUUUGUAAUGAGGAUUGUAGGAAUGUAAAGAUGUAAGAACCUUUAGUC
Molecule: long non-coding RNA, 1501 nt
Organism: Papaver somniferum (opium poppy)
Lineage: Eukaryota; Viridiplantae; Streptophyta; Magnoliopsida; Ranunculales; Papaveraceae
Exons: 2
Source: RefSeq, a predicted model, not a curated record